Molecule: ribosomal RNA, 460 nt
Filed under: uncultured bacterium
Lineage: Bacteria
Description: partial 16S ribosomal RNA
Rfam family: Bacterial small subunit ribosomal RNA
Source: RNAcentral
CCUACGGGCGGCAGCAGUGAGGAAUAUUGGUCAAUGGGCGGGAGCCUGAACCAGCCAAGUCGCGUGAGGGAAGACGGUCCUAUGGAUUGUAAACCUCUUUAGGCGGGGAGCAAUGCCGGGCACGUGUGCCCGGAGGGAGAGUACCCGCAGAAUAAGCAUCGGCUAACUCCGUGCCAGCAGCCGCGGUAAUACGGAGGAUGCGAGCUUUAUCCGGAUUUAGUGGGUUUAAAGGGUGCGUAGGCGGAGUUUUAAGUCAGCGGUAAAAUGUCCGGGCUCAACCCGGGCCGGCCGUUGAAACUGGGGAUCUUGAGUGGGCGAGAAGUAUGCGGAAUGCGUGGUGUAGCGGUGAAAUGCAUAGAUAUCACGCAGAACUCCGAUUGCGAAGGCAGCAUACCGGCGCCCGACUGACGCUGAGGCACGAAAGCGUGGGGAUCGAACAGGAUUAGAUACCCUGGUAGUC